This 1519-nucleotide long non-coding RNA is filed under the name Gallus gallus (chicken). Its description in RNAcentral is "lncRNA (ENSGALG00010003663.1)". The record is from RNAcentral. Lineage: Eukaryota; Metazoa; Chordata; Aves; Galliformes; Phasianidae.
CAGCGAUGAGCGUUCCCAGCCCCAAAGCUGGGGGCAAAUUGGGGCUCAGCGCCCCCCUCGAUGGAGGGCCACGGCUCCGACCUCAACCGGGUGCCGCCCCCCGGGGACCUUUGGCCCCGUGCAGAAGAAGCGCUGCGCUGCGAACCUCAGCUCACCUUCGCCUCCGAUGCCUUCAGGAGGUUCAUCACCUCCCCCUCGCGGGCGUAAUCCAGCGGCGUGUGCCCCAUCUCGUUCUUCUGCAGGGGGUUGGCACCUGAAGGCAGGGAGAGAGGGAGGAGGUCAGGGAGCCCUGGGGUGGAGGGGGAACGCAGAGCAUCCCCUGUGCGGACGUCCCAUUCCGACCUCAGAGGGACAAUCCCAUGGGAUGCGGGGGAGAAACCACUCUCUUCUUCGGGAUUGCAUUGGGAACAACGGGUCGGGAAAUGCGUGGGUGCCCGCAGAGAGCCGGGCCUGCGUGGGGAGCACAAACCGGUCCCAGUUCCGCACUGGGAAGCAGCGGUGUGGAUGCGGAGGAAGAGUGGGGCACGGCAGGCCGAGGUCAGCAGGAUGUGGGGGGAUGGGGAGACACCCGUGUGGCACUGCUGGGGAUAAGAGGGGUGUGAGUAUGGCACCGUGGGGAUAGGGGAGACACCACUAUGGUGCCAUGGGGAUAGGAGGGACAUGAGUAUGGCAGCAUGGGGAGACACCAGUAUGGCAGCAUGGGAUUAGGGGGGACACCACUAUGGUGCCAUGGGGAGAGGGGAGACACCACUAUGGUGCCACGGGGAUAGGAGGGACAUGAGUAUGAUGUCAUGGGAACAGGGGAGACACCACUAUGGCACCAUGGGAUUAAGGGAGACGUGAGUAUGGCACCAUGGGGAGAGGGGAGACAUCACUAUGGUGCCAUGGGAUUAGGGGAGACACCAGUACGGCACCAUGGGGAUAGGAGGGACAUGAGUAUGGCACCAUGGGGAUAGGGGAAACAUGAGUAUGGCAACAUGGGGAUAGGGGAGAUGUGAGUAUGGCACCAUGGGGAUAGGGGAGACACCACUAUGGUGCCAUGGGGAGAGGGGAGACACCACUAUGGCAGCGUGGGGAGAGGGGAGACACCACUAUGACACCAUGGGAAUAGGAAAGACAUGAGUAUGGCACCAUGGGGAGAGGGGAGACACCACUGUGGUGCCAUGGGGAGAGGGGAGACACCACUAUGGCACCAUGGGAUUAAGGGAGACAUGAGUAUGGCACCAUGGGGAUAAGGGAGAUGUGAGUAUGGCAGCAUGGGGAUAGGGGAGACACCAGUAUGGCCCCAUGGGGAUAGGGGAGACAUGAGUAUGGCAUCAGAGGAAUAGGGGAGACACAAAUAUGGUGCCAUGGGGAUAGGAGGGACAUGAGUAUGGCACCAUGGGGAGAGGGGAGACACGAGUAUGGCACCACAGGGACAGGGGAGACAGCAGUACGGCAGCACGGGACCCAGGCCUGGCUCCUGGAAUGGGGCACCUCUCCUGGCACAAACGCCCACCGAUCCGAGCGCACAGCAGCC